RNAcentral lists this ribosomal RNA (253 nucleotides) under uncultured bacterium. RNAcentral's name for it is "partial 16S ribosomal RNA". It matches the Rfam family "Bacterial small subunit ribosomal RNA", at positions 524 to 776 of the family's 1533-position model. The record is from RNAcentral.
UACGAAGGGAGCUAGCGUUGUUCGGAAUUACUGGGCGUAAAGGGCGCGUAGGCGGUUAUCUAAGUCAGAUGUGAAAGCCUUGGGCUUAACCUAAGAAUUGCAUUUGAUACUGGAUAACUAGAGAUCGAGAGAGGAAAGUGGAAUUACGAGUGUAGAGGUGAAAUUCGUAGAUAUUCGUAAGAACACCAGUGGCGAAGGCGGCUUUCUGGCUCGAUACUGACGCUAAGGCGCGAAAGCGUGGGGAGCAAACAGG